Long non-coding RNA from Xiphophorus couchianus (Monterrey platyfish), 1413 nucleotides. RefSeq lists it as uncharacterized. NCBI's taxonomy places the organism in Eukaryota, Metazoa, Chordata, Actinopteri, Cyprinodontiformes, Poeciliidae. The record is from RefSeq and is a predicted model, not a curated record. The transcript has 2 exons.
GUGGUAACCAUCGAGCGAUGACUGGUGGUUCCACCGCUUCUUAAGAAAGCCUGCCGCUGGUUACCGGAAUCCGUUGCAGGUGCGUCAGGCUGUCAAACUCCUCCGCGUAGCUCAUCUCUGGAAAGAACCCUCACUCCAACCUGAAUUCUGACAAUACAUAUAAGACAAGUGUAGUUACACCGUGUGAUUUUGGCAAACAAUAUUCUUAAACUCAUCCAAAAUAUUAUUCUCCGUAAAACUUAUUUUAUUUUCUGCUUACAGCAGCAGCAGCAAUAUAUUUGCUACCUAGAUUAAAGAUUCACGGUCUCAUUAUUUGACAUGGUUGUUCUGUUCAAAACCUUUUGGUCUGCUUGAGCAGAAAUGGCGUAGUGUCUGGACAUGUUAAAAUGUUCAACUUUUACCACCCAAAAUCCUCACUACUUUCAAAUAGUUCACUUUUUAUUUUAUUUUACUUGUUGCAUGGACUCAACUUAAAUAGAUUAACUUAUAAAGCAUUUUUUUUUAUAUAUCCAAAUGUUCCUGCCACUUGUUUAAGAUGAGUACAAACAACAAGUCGAUGAUAAUUAAGUGAUGUUCGCUUGAACUUUUUUUUAAGUCUAAUGUUUUAUUUUACAGUGAGGAAGGCCGGAGUCUAGCUUUAGCAGAUGGCUGAAGGCGUCUGAUCCGCUUCAAACUCAGUACCUGUUUGCUCCAAGGCAAAACUUUGAGGUCAGAAGGAGUUCACCUUAAACACUGUAUGGCAUUGAGACAUCCUGAGGGACAUGUUCAAAGUUCAACCCUCUCCCUGUCCAGUAUUCUGCCCGGACACACGCACAAACACGAACGGCUUGGUGAGCAAAACCGGAGUUAAUUACAACAUUCUAUUUAAAUAUAUUACAUUGUAUAUUAUUCUUGAUUAUUUAACACUUAUUGUUUUUUUAUACUUUAAUUGUAUUACUCAUAAAACUCGGAGCCUGUCUCUGUUUCUAUUGGUUGAAUUGAAAUUACCGGGAAUAUAGUGUAACACGUGUUAAGCAUGCUGAGGUCAUGUGACCGGAUGGGGGGAGGGGAAUCAUGUGACCGGAAAUUAAAAUCAAUUAGUCACGGGUCAUUAAUCACUCAUCAAUCAAACUCCGAUUAAAAUUUGACAGAAGGUGUCCCAUAUAGUCUCUCUGUAGUAUAACAUUACAAGUGUGCAAUGUUGCAUUAAAUUGAUGUUUACUGGGCUUUUCUCGCCCUGAUUUUCAAUUUUUCAGCAGCUAGACAGCCAGACAACGACGCUAAAAAUAACCAAACUUCUUCCUUUUUUACUUGUUUUAUUGAAGAGUGGCCUCUGACCACUGCCAUCACUUUGGCCAUCGUGAACUGUAACAUACAAGGCUUAGUAUUAGCAAACAAACAUUGCAAAUUAGCCAUCCUUGCUGUGAGCUAAAA